UAUAGUCAAUGAUUUUAUAUUCUAACUGUAAUUCAAUUGAAUCUGAUAUUCAUUGAAUUGAAGCGAAAAUUUGAUUAUGUUUUAUUGGGUAGGAAAUAGGAUUCUAUAUAAUAAAAAAUGCAGAGAGAAAUCUCCAGCGACUAUAAUUUUGUCGGGUCACUCUAUUCCUCAAAUUUCCUGUCAAGUGGUUCACCUUUUCUCAAUUAUGUAACUGUCGAUUCCAAUUCCCCUUCAAACAUUAUCAAUUCUUAGCCGAAUGAUGAUGACAUGUUACUGAGUUCACUUUACGAAAAGGAGUUGUUAAGUCCUUUUAGUAGUUUAAAUUUCGCCAUAGUGAAGAAAGAAUACUUCCAUGAAAGAAGUUAUCAGAAAGAUCAAGAGUCUGGAGCUUUGAGAGUUUUCCAAGUUUUGCUGGGAUUGGUCCUGUUAUGUUGGUGAGAAAUAGUUGUUUGUCCAUUUUUGCAGCUGCCUUGCGUCGAGAAUCAUGGGGUUUGUUCCGAAGCUAGAUUUGGGAGAUACUCUAUUAUUUGUUCAUUCCCCUCCCAACAAAUAACAAUAUUAAUUUUUUUGAAGGGUUUUGUUUCAUUUUAUUUGGAUAAUAACAAACAUAGUACUCUGUAUUUUUUUUUUUAAGGGUUUUGUGAAGAUCAAUGCAUGUUUUUCCAAUGGUUUGCCUUUAUUUGCGUCAUUGUGUUUUUCUUGAUUUUGCUGAAUGGUUUAGAAUCAAUUUGCUUGAGCCAUAUAUUAAGUAAAGAAAUUGUAGACGACAGAUAGAGAGCCGAAUUGGGAUUUGUCCUUCAAAUUUUUAUGGUUCAUGUCAAAGACUGCUAUAAUGAUCCUUUUUAUUUUUGCGGCAAAAUAAAGUAUGGAAGACGUAGAAGAUGAGCCUGUUGAUGUUUUGAUGGAAUCCGAUACUGAGAAUAUUCGAAGUUUGUGAAUGUAGUCAAAGACGAAACAUCGGGAGGGAUGGGUUACAAGUGCCUGAGGUGGGUAUGCUAUUUAAGCAUGAAGAAGAUAUGUAUAACUUCUACAAAAAAUAUGCUUAUGCCGUUGGUUUUCCCGUUAAAAAAAGGAAUUCGAAAAAGGGGGAGGAUGGAGCAUUGAGAUACCUAACGUUAACAUGUAGUCGUGAAGGACGAUUAAAUGGUAAUACUAGCAGUUCACUGAAGCCGCAACCAACAGUUAAGAUGGGUUGUAAAACAAGGAUAUCCGCAUCUUAAGAUAUCCUGGGAAAUUGGAGAAUUAAUGCGGUCCCCUAGAGCACAAUCAUAAGACAAGUCCAUCUAAGUCCAGGUUAUAUCGAUGCAACCGAACUUUUACUGCACAUGUGAAAAGAAAGUUUGAAAUGAAUGAUUUAGCAGGGAUUCCAUUGCAUAAGAGUUACAAUUCCGCAGUUGUAGAAGCUGGUGGAUAUGAGAACAUGACUUGCAUUGAAAAAAAUUGUCGGAACUAUGUCGAACGAGUUAGGUGAUUACGACUUGGAGAGGACGAUGCUGCAGUAAUACAAUCAUACUUUUCAAGAAUGCAAGCUCAAUGUUCGAGAUUUUAUUUCAGUAUGGAUUUGGACGAUGAUUCGCGACUAAGAAAUGUAUUCUGGGCAAAUAAUCGGUGUAGGCCAGCGUACAAGGAGUUUUGUGAUGUGGUUACUUUUGAUACCACCUAUCUUACUAAUAAGUAUGACAUGCCAUUCGCCCCCUUUGUUGGCAUCAAUCAUCACGAAUAGUCAACAUUACUUGGUAGUGGGUUGUUGUCGAAUGAGGACACCGAGACUUUCGUAUGGUUGUUUAGAACAUGGCUUCAGUGUAUGUAUGGUGAAACUACGCAGGCCAUAAUUACCGAUUAGGAUAGAGCCAUGCAAAAUGCAAUUGAGAUUGUCUUCCCGAUGACGAAGCAUAGAUGGUGUUUGUAGCGUAUUUUGAAGAAGCCCCCGGAAAAGUUUGGAUACCAUGUGGAUAAGGGUUUGAUAUUUGGGGCUAUACAUAGAUUAGUGUAUGAUUCACAGUCGGAACAAGAAUUUGAUGAAGGUUGGAUGGCGAUGAUUGACACCUAUAGUUUGCAGCAAAAUAAUUGGUUGUCAGGAUUAUAUGAGAAUAGAGGGCGUUGGGUGCCUUGUUUUUUGAAAAUAACUUUUUAGGCAGGAAUGUUUACAACAUAGAGAAUCGAGAGUAUGAACGCGUUCUUCAGUGGAUAUGUGCAUUCGAAGACAUCGUUGAAGCAAUUCGUCGAACAGUACGAACGUGCUCUCAGGAAUAAGGUCGAGAAGGAAUUCCAAGCUGAUUUCAAGUCGUUCUCUCAAAUGAUACCGUGUGCAACACAGUUUGAAAUGGAAGAACAGUUUCGGUCAGUUUACACCAUAUCGAAAUGUCGGGAAGUUUAAAAAGAGUUCACAGGUAAGGUCUACUGUAAUGUCAUAUCUACGUCAGAAGGAUCUUCUGAGACGACGUAUAAUGUACGGGAGACUAUUAUGUAUGAUGGUCGUCGCAAGAGAAAAACUUGAGUCGUCUCAUUUGUGAGAAAUAAUUGCGAAGUUGUUUGUAGCUGCCACUUAUUUGAGUUUAGGGGAAUACUUUGUAAGCAUGCAAUAGCGGUUCAAGACUAGAACGAUGUCACGUGUAUUCCGGAUCAGUAUUUUUUGCGGAGAUGGAUGAGGGACGUUCGUAGAGCAUACACGAGAGUUCCAAUAAACUAUGCAGGGUUAGAGACUACUCCUGCACAAUUAAGAUACGAAGAGAUGUCUAAGGGAUUUGCACAGGUGGCAGACCUUGCUGCAGAUGAUGAAAUGCUGUCACGUGCUAUAAUGGAGUGGAUAAAAUUGCAACGUGAAGAUAUGAUGACCACAAGAUCUGGUGGUAGUAGUAAUCUCAUACCGUCGCGUACCACGCAGGUGUCCAAUGAUUGUACAGACGUGUCAAAGUUAGCGAGCGGAAGCAUAUGUGAUCCACAAGUAGCUCGACUAAAGGGUGCGCCAAGGAAGCUUAGAAAAAGAAGCCCAUUGGAGAUAACAUCAAAGAAAGCAAAGGUAUGCUCGAAAACUGAGAUUUAUAUUUGCAAUUGUUUAAAUUUAUAUCUUGUAAAUGCAAUCUAGCGGGACAUCAUCCACUACUAUGCCACCAAGAAGUAGCAAUACGAAUAUGGUAGAUGACGCAAUGAACUUUCAGUUGCCUCAACAAUAUUCCAUGCCAACCCCGACGUCGUACUUGCCCAGUGACACGUUGACACCAUUAUCUUUGUCACAACUGUCCAUGUCUACACCGUUCUCCCUUUCCCAAUGUGUACCCUUUGGAAAUUUGGUCUCUCCAUUCGCUGCUAGUAUCAUGCAAAAUUCACAAUGUAUAAACCAAUGUUGUAGACGGUUUUAAAAUUCAUUUUGUUGUGAACACAUGAUUAACUAUUUGUUAUGGUAUUCUAUUGUAGGUCAACCAUCGGCGAACUACUAUCAAAAUUUAUUGGAUCACAGUGGCAGCCUAUAGCAAGGGGGCUAUGUUUGCGCGAUUGGAAUUUUUUUGAAAUCGAGACUUCCAAUUCACAGUACUCGAAUGAAGAUGUAUUUUGGCAUUUCCUAGUAUUAAGGCAAUUACUACUUUGCCUAUUUUGGCAACUUCACAGGUUUUAAGUUGGCGGAAUUUUUUUGAAAUGUUGGGUAAUUACUACUCAUAGUGUAUUAG
This 3665-nucleotide long non-coding RNA is filed under the name Olea europaea subsp. europaea. Lineage: Eukaryota; Viridiplantae; Streptophyta; Magnoliopsida; Lamiales; Oleaceae. The record is from RNAcentral.